Molecule: ribosomal RNA, 765 nt
Filed under: uncultured bacterium
Lineage: Bacteria
Description: bacterial SSU rRNA
Rfam family: Bacterial small subunit ribosomal RNA
Source: RNAcentral
AGAGUUUGAUCAUGGCUCAGAUUGAACGCUGGCGGCAUGCCUAACACAUGCAAGUCGCGCGGAGUGUAGCAAUACACUUAGCGGCGGACGGGUGAGGAAUACAUAGGAAUUUGCCUUUAGGUGGGGGAUAGCCCAGGGAAACUUGGAGUAAUACCGCAUGAUGUCGUGAGACCAAAGCCGGGGACCGCAAGGCCUGGCGCCUUUAGAGAAGCCUAUGUCUGAUUAGCUAGUUGGUAGGGUAAUGGCCUACCAAGGCAACGAUCAGUAGCUGGUCUGAGAGGACGAUCAGCCACACCGGAACUGAGACACGGUCCGGACACCUACGGGUGGCAGCAGUGGGGAAUAUUGGACAAUGGGCGCAAGCCUGAUGCAGCGACGCCGCGUGAGGGAUGACGGCCUUCGGGUUGUAAACCUCUUUCAGUAGGGAAGAAGCGAAAGUGACGGUACCUGCAGAAGAAGCGCCGGCUAACUACGUGCCAGCAGCCGCGGUAAUACGUAGGGCGCAAGCGUUAUCCGGAAUUAUUGGGCGUAAAGAGCUCGUAGGCGGUUUGUCGCGUCUGCCGUGAAAGUCCGGGGCUCAACUCCGGAUCUGCGGUGGGUACGGGCAGACUAGAGUGAUGUAGGGGAGACUGGAAUUCCUGGUGUAGCGGUGAAAUGCGCAGAUAUCAGGAGGAACACCGAUGGCGAAGGCAGGUCUCUGGGCAUUAACUGACGCUGAGGAGCGAAAGCAUGGGGAGCGAACAGGAUUAGAUACCCUGGUAGUCC